ACCCUCACCUAGAAACCAUUAUUGCCGAACCCAAAUCCUCACCCCAUCUUCAUCCAAAUCUCACCAAAAUUUACUAAAUUUGAAGGCAAAUCAUCCAUUAGUCAAAGAUCCGGCAAGGAACGCAGCUAACGGACAAGGAGCACCUUAAACUAGACGGCAGUUAAUCGAUCGAGGUUUUAGGAGUAGCAAGCGUCUUUCCUUUCAGGUAAAAUGUUUUGACGUGACGGACUUCUAUCCUUGUUCAGAAGUCCGUAUUUUGGAAGUAUGUAAAUAAGAAGACGUCGAUCGAUAGUGCUGCAGUAGAUGUCAAGUCCUAGUUAUGAAUAUGGCUUUGUUGAAUGGUUUUAAUGUUUUAUCCAACUCUGAUAUGUAAAUAAAGUUUUAAACUGCACUUUUAACCGUUUACUAUAUUUUGCUAACC
Mercurialis annua (annual mercury) is the source of this 421-nucleotide long non-coding RNA. RefSeq lists it as uncharacterized. The transcript is spliced from 3 exons. NCBI's taxonomy places the organism in Eukaryota, Viridiplantae, Streptophyta, Magnoliopsida, Malpighiales, Euphorbiaceae. The record is from RefSeq and is a predicted model, not a curated record.